UACGUGCCAGCAGCCGCGGUAAUACGUAGGUCCCGAGCGUUGUCCGGAUUUAUUGGGCGUAAAGCGAGCGCAGGCGGUUUGAUAAGUCUGAAGUUAAAGGCUGUGGCUCAACCAUAGUUCGCUUUGGAAACUGUCAAACUUGAGUGCAGAAGGGGAGAGUGGAAUUCCAUGUGUAGCGGUGAAAUGCGUAGAUAUAUGGAGGAACACCGGUGGCGAAAGCGGCUCUCUGGUCUGUAACUGACGCUGAGGCUCGAAAGCGUGGGGAGCGAACAGGAUUAGAUACCCUGGUAGUCCACGCCGUAAACGAUGAGUGCUAGGUGUUGGAUCCUUUCCGGGAUUCAGUGCCGCAGCUAACGCAUUAAGCACUCCGCCUGGGGAGUACGACCGCAAGGUUGAAACUCAAAGGAAUUGACGGGGGCCCGCACAAGCGGUGGAGCAUGUGGUUUAAUUCGAAGCGACGCGAAGAACCUUACCAGGUCUUGACAUCCCGAUGCUAUUUCUAGAGAUAGAAAGUUACUUCGGUACAUCGGUGACAGGUGGUGCAUGGUUGUCGUCAGCUCGUGUCGUGAGAUGUUGGGUUAAGUCCCGCAACGAGCGCAACCCCUAUUGUUAGUUGCCAUCAUUCAGUUGGGCACUCUAGCGAGACUGCCGGUAAUAAACCGGAGGAAGGUGGGGAUGACGUCAAAUCAUCAUGCCCCUUAUGACCUGGGCUACACACGUGCUACAAUGGUUGGUACAACGAGUUGCGAGUCGGUGACGGCGAGCUAAUCUCUUAAAGCCAAUCUCAGUUCGGAUUGUAGGCUGCAACUCGCCUACAUGAAGUCGGAAUCGCUAGUAAUCGCGGAUCAGCACGCCGCGGUGAAUACGUUCCCGGGCCUUGUACACACCGCCCGUCACACCACGAGAGUUUGUAACACCCGAAGUCGGUGAGGUAACCUUUUGGAGCCAGCCGCCUAAGGUGGGACAGAUGAUUGGGGUGAAGUCGUAACAAGGUAGCA
RNAcentral lists this ribosomal RNA (998 nucleotides) under uncultured Streptococcus sp. RNAcentral describes it as "bacterial SSU rRNA". It matches the Rfam family "Bacterial small subunit ribosomal RNA", at positions 502 to 1501 of the family's 1533-position model. The record is from RNAcentral. Lineage: Bacteria; Bacillati; Bacillota; Bacilli; Lactobacillales; Streptococcaceae.